RNAcentral lists this transfer RNA (72 nucleotides) under Phrynosoma platyrhinos (Desert horned lizard). RNAcentral's name for it is "tRNA-OTHER". Lineage: Eukaryota; Metazoa; Chordata; Lepidosauria; Squamata; Phrynosomatidae. The record is from RNAcentral.
GCCAGUGCAGUGUAGCGGUUCGAGCAUUGGACUAUGACUCUGGAGACCAGGGUUCGAAUCCCAGCUCAGCCA